GAGAGAGGCGUAGGUUAAAACCCUUUAGUCUGGACCACAGCACCGACGGGUCUACGCUCGGAGUUUUCUGUUUCACAGCACUUUAACGUAGGACGAGAAAUAAAUUUUAGCCACGGCCACCUCUUAGCGAAAGGUUCGGCAAAGGAGGUCUUAUCAACAGAGAUAUUUAAAAAGUAACAUUGUUCGAUAAUUCUCAUCGGUGACUUUGGGAGAAACUUUGAAUUGUGAAUCGUUGGAUGGCGUAGAAAGGAAUCGAGCCAGUGCAGAGCAGACACAGACCAAAAGCGGCUUGGGUGGAGCCUCGUCGUUGACGUCAUCAGACGUACAGACAAACGGCACAGAUGUAGAAACCAAUGCGCGUGGAGAGAGUCCAGAAUCGUGCGAUAACCGGUGGCCACGGAGUAGUUCGGAAUAGUAGUCGGUGGGGAAGUUGUAUCGGCACCUAGUGGCACGACCACAGGAGGGUGGUGGAGAAGAGAGGAUUGGGGUUGCUGGGAGAAGAGAAAGAGGCAACGGAGGAUGCGGAGAUGGCGGAGGGAUGGUCGCAGCAGCAGCAGCAGCAGCAGCAGUAGUAGCAGCAGCAGUAGUAGCAGCAGCAGCAGCAUCCACGCUUGCCUACCGCCGAAGCCCGACCACCACAGAGCCACCCCUCCUUCUCCACCCCCUCGAACAAUCCCAACGGUGUCCGCCUCUCAUGUUGCAAGCCACGGCCAGCCGACAACCUCUACCACAGCAAUCCUAAAUGCAACUAACUUUGAGAGAGAGAGAGAGAGAGAGAGAGAGAGAGAGAGAGAGAGAGAGAGAGAUCUUCGAAAGUACCAAAAUAAUGUCCCUCUCUUUUGAAGGAUCUUUCGAAAAAAUUAAUAUAGACCUGUUACCAUUGAUCUUCCUUACGUGAUACCUUUGAGAUCUAUAUUCGUUUUGAUAUAAAAUUAAUUGAACAUAAUCAGGUACGAUAGUCCAGUAGAAUAGUUCUCCCAAAUAUUUUCUCAGUAUAUAAGAAGAAGGUUUGAAAAGAAGUCGAGAUAAGUAGGAACGUUAUCAGUCGAUCUGAAGAUUGAGGACCCUCGACGAAUCGGUGUUUGGUCGUGCUCGUCGAUUAGGCGCGUAUCCUAGCCGCGAAAUUCGCUUAGAUCA
Molecule: long non-coding RNA, 1137 nt
Organism: Vespula vulgaris
Lineage: Eukaryota; Metazoa; Arthropoda; Insecta; Hymenoptera; Vespidae
Exons: 5
Source: RefSeq, a predicted model, not a curated record